Eriocheir sinensis (Chinese mitten crab) is the source of this 4135-nucleotide long non-coding RNA. RefSeq lists it as uncharacterized. The record is from RefSeq and is a predicted model, not a curated record. The transcript is spliced from 2 exons. Lineage: Eukaryota; Metazoa; Arthropoda; Malacostraca; Decapoda; Varunidae.
GAAUGGCCGAGGAAGGGAGAGCUUAUGAUAGUGUUGGAACUGAUGUCAAGGGAAUGGCCAAGGAAGGGAGAGCUUGUGAUAUUGUUGAACUGACCUCAAGGGAAUGGCCGAGGAAGGGAGAGCUUAUGAUAGUGUUGGAACUGACCUCAAGGGAAUGUCCAAGGAAGGGAGAGCUUGUGAUAUUACUGGAACUGAUGUCAAAGGAAGGAAUAGCUUGUGGUAUCGCUGGAACUGAUGUCAAGGGAACGGCCGAGGAAGGGAGAGCUUGUGAUAUUACUGGAACUGACCUCAAGGGAAGGAAUAGCUUGUGGUAUCGCUGGAACUGAUGUCAAGGGAAUGGCCAGGGAAGGGAGAGCUUGUGAUAUUACUGGAACUGAUGUCAAAGGAAGGAAUAGCUUGUGGUAUCGCUGGAACUGAUGUCAAGGGAAUGGCCGAGGAAAGGAGAGCUUGUGAUAUUGUUGGAAGUGAUGACAAGGGAACGUCUGAACAAGGGAGAGCUAGUACCAUGGGCAUUAUUUUUGUAUUUAUCAUUAUUUGUGUGUGUGCGCGUGGCAGAACAUUGAUGAUACAUAUAAGCUUUUAAGAAGGGAUUUUGUGCUCCACUUUUUCCGAUGUCAAUAUUCAGUUUAUUAUAAUUCCACUCACUUGCUCAGUCGUGUGUUGGCAGGCUUAGAUUAGUUUGAGGUUUACUAGGUUAGGUUAGGUUAGGUUAGGCUUUGGGUAGGUUGUGUUAAUUUGAAUUUUGUUUGUUUAGGUUGAGAAUAUGUUGGGUUAGGCUUUGUUUGGUAUAGGCGAAGGAGAAUGAAAGAUUAAGAAGAGAUUGUGUUUAUAGAAGAAAAAGAGGAAAUUGAGUUUGUAUAGGUUGAGAUGAACUAUGAAUAUAUUGGGUUAGGAAUGAAAGGCAAGGAAGAAAAGAGAAAGGUGUUUGUAGAAAAAAAAAGGAUGAUUGGAUUGAAAGGAGAUUGGGCUGAACUAUAAUUUGUUGGGUUAGGUUUGGUUAGGUUAUAGAUUUAGAAGAAUGAAAGACUAAAGAAGGAAAGAAAAAGAUUGUUUAAAGAAGAAAAUUGUGUAUGUUUGAAUGAACUUUAAUAUGUUGGGUUAGGUUUGGUUAGGUAAAGAUGUAGAAGAAUGAUAGGCAAGGAGGAGAAGAAAAGGGUUGUGUUUAAAGAAGAAAAAAAUUAAAUUGAGUGUAUAGGUUGGAAUGAACUUUAAUAUUGGGUUAGGUUUGGUUAGGUAAAGAUGUAGAAGAAUGAUAGGCAAGGAGGAGAAGAAAAGGGUUGUGUUUAAAGAAGAAAAAAAUUAAAUAGAGUAUAGGUUGGAAUGAACUUUAAUAUUGGGUUAGGUUUGGUUAGGUAAAGAUGUAGAAGAAUGAAAGGAAAAAAAAUGUAUCUUUAAAUUGGGAAGAACUGUAAAAGAAAGACUGGAUAUACAAAAGAAGAAAAGGAGGAAAAUAAGAACAAGGAGGAACGGUAAAGAGAGAAAACAAAGACAAAGAAGAAAAAAGAAGAAUUUGAGCACGAAGGAACAAAAAGAGAAUGGAAAUACAAAGAAGAAAAAAAGAAGAGAAGGGAAAGACAAAGAAGAAAAGAGGGAGAAUUUGAGGAAGAAAGAACAAAAAGAAAGCAAAUACAAAGAAGAAAAGGAGAAAGAGAGGAAAAAGGAAAGAGAAAGGAAAGACAAAGAUGAAAAGAAGAAAUAGAGGAAAAGGAAAGAAGGAAAAGAAAGGAAAAUUAGGAAAAGGGAACCAGAAGAACGAAAGAUAUUAGGACGACAAUUAAGCAAACAGUCACAUAUAUAUAUUAAAAGGAAUCCAAGCCAACUAUAUUAACAAAUGGUGAAGAAAACUAACAUAACAUUUUCUUACAAUUUCGUACCUAUUUAUAUAACUGGUGUCGCCCCCUCCCCCCCUCCUCCCCCCUAACCCCCAAGCCCCGCCAAUACGAGACAAUGACUACUAUUACUACUACUAUUAUUAUUAUUAUUAUUAUUGCUGUACAUUUUCUACUUUAAGAUACGGACAGGAUUUUAUUUUUUAUUUUAUUUAUUUUUUCCGUUUUAGAUUUUAAGAGUCCGUUGAAUUGUAUAUAUUUUGCCGAUUUCAUUCGCGUUCCGAUAUAUUUUGUACAUAAACGGUGGAUAGCCCAGCCAGAGAGAGAGAGAGAGAGAGGUAGCACGCCACACUCACUCAAGCCUUAAGGUCAUAUUAGGGUCAGUUUCCAGUGACCCGUUGACCUUUAUUGCAAUUUAGUUAAGGACGGGGAAAGGCAUGUAAGAACUAUAUCGUGUGUGGAUUUUGUACGAGGUUUUUGUUCUAUCCGCUCUCGUUUGUUUUGUUACGGCACUUAUAUUUGUACGGUGUCCUGCAAGUUACGUAUGACAGGGAGUACUGGAGCGCGAUGUUUGUACUAAGUUUUGGCGCUUAUGAAUAUUCUGAUAAGGGUGGUGUGCUUCUCAGAUACUAUAAGCGUCAGAAAUUUGUUCCUAGGUAUUUGGGUUUAUGCAUUAGUGAUUCGUAGUGUUUAUUGGAAGUCAUGUCGCUUAUGAAUAUUCAGAUAAGGGCAAUGUAUCGGUACUUCUCAAAUACUAUAAGCAUCAUAAAUCUGUUUCUAGGUAUUUGGGUUCAUACAUCAGUGAUUUGUAGUGUUUAUUGGAAGUCAUGUCGCUUAUGAAUAUUCAGAUAAGGGUGAUGCACUUCUCAAAUACUAUAAGCGUCAUAAUCUGUUUCUUGGUACUCAUUUUCAUACAUCAGUUAAUCGUUGCGUUUAUUGGAAGUCGUGGCAGUUAUGAAUAUUCAGGUAAAGGUGAUGCCCUUCUCAAAUACUAUAAGCGUCAUAAAUCUGUUUCUAGGUAUUCGUUUUCAUACAUCAGUUAAUCGUUGUGUUUAUUGGAAAUCAUGUCGCUUAUGAAUAUUCAGAUAAGGGUGAUGCACUUCUCAAAUACUAUAAGCGUCAUAAAUCUGUUUCUAGGUAUUUGGGUUCAUACAUCAGUGAAUCGUUGUGUUUAUUGGAAGUCAUGUCGCUUAUGAAUAUUCAGGUAAAGGUGAUGCCCUUCUCAAAUACUAUAAGCGUCAUAAUCUGUUUCUUGGUACUCAUUUUCAUACAUCAGUUAAUCGUUGUGUUUAUUGGAAGUGGUGGUGGAAGUCGUGGCGCCUAUAGAUAUAUUCGGAUAAGUAUGCCGUACGCCUCAAAUAUAGACGACAUGAAAUUGUAAGUCCUUGGUUUCGUAUGAAGGAGGCGAUUUAUAUGCAAGGAUGAUAAUGCCCUUUCUUUUCCUCCUCUUCCUUUUUUUCCUUCCUCUGUGCGUAGUUAUGAUUCUAUGAUUUCAUAUGACGGAGGCGACUCGUAUGCAAAAGAUUAUAAUGUCCGUUCUCCUCCUUCUGUUAAAAGUUAUUCCUGUGCUUGGAGUUGUGAUUCUUGUUUGAUUUCAUUUGGAGGAGGAGGACACUUGUAUGCAAAGAUAACUCACUUCUUCUUUUUCUUAGUUCCUUUCCUUCUUUUUCUUCAUUGUCUUCUCCUCCUCCUUUUUCUUCUUCGUUUUCUUCUUCUAAAUAUAACUUUCAACAUCUGUACGUAUAUUGGCUAUUUAGUAAAGGCGCAAUCCUCACCACUUCCAACAUCAUGCACUUCAGUUUUCCUUGUCAUACUUAACUUGCAAGACAACCCAGUAUACCCUAUUCACGUUAGCUAGGCGAAUAGGCUCCGCCCCCUUCCCAUCAUUGGCCAGCCCGCAAGCAAGCCACGCCCACUCAAACUCAGGCUGGAUGUGAUUGGUGGGACGCAGGGAAAGGCGAAAUCCUAUUGGUCGCUGCUAGGCUAUGGGCGGGGCUUACUUUCCAGGUUAAAAUUAAUAGGGUAUCUAUCUUUUCGUACUUAGAGAGAGAGGAAGAGAGUGAGUGAGAGAGAGUAAGGAAGUGUUAGUGUUCGUCAUUCUAUCCAUACAUUGCCUUAGAAUACUUUAUAGAGAAGGAAUGCCGUGUGCCGUGUGGGGCGGGGCGGGGCUUAAGAAAGGGGAGGAGCUUAGGGGUAAGGGGUUGCCAUAUAGCCCCCGCCCCUUCCUUCGCGCCCCAGCCUCGCCCCUAGCCCCAAGCCCUGCCGUGGGUGUGUACUGUCAAGAGGAAUAAUAAAAUGUCAUGUGA